Molecule: long non-coding RNA, 919 nt
Organism: Xiphophorus hellerii (green swordtail)
Lineage: Eukaryota; Metazoa; Chordata; Actinopteri; Cyprinodontiformes; Poeciliidae
Exons: 3
Source: RefSeq, a predicted model, not a curated record
UUUGUUUUGCCGCACUUCGUCUCACAAAACCAGCCUGGGCUCCAACUCAACUACUCUCCCAAGUCUCAUUUUCUUUGUCUUCUUCUUCUUUGGGAUUUUAUGACUGUGGUUCAUUCAUGUCAUUGCAUUACCGCCACCUUGUGGAUCUUACGAUCAUCACGUUCAUUUAAAUGUGCGGUGCUGGUGGUCGAGUGUAAAGGACUUUUAACGGGUUUUUCUACUUUAAUUUUCUACCGGUAUUUUAAUAAUAGUUUGUAAUUAUUUAUUUUUUAGCUCUCAGGAUUGAAGGUGGUGCGUUUGGCCCAGAUGGUGGCGCCCCCUGUUGCUGUGGCUGUCCCGUGAUCAACAUAAAUCGAUGGAGGGAAAUCCAACGAGUGUUUGUGACGUCACGGUGUUUGGUGAUUCUUUGCUCUGGAGCCUCCGAUCCAGAACCUGUCAGCACCUACCGCCAAGCCUCGGCAACUCAGCUUAGUUUUUCUAACUCCUUCUUAUCUACAUAGAGAUCUGGCCCAGGUGAGGCAUGCCUCAUGUGAACCGUGCCAUCACUGCCAGAUCUUUCCUGAGUCUGGCUGACAUCCAAUUUGCCAUGCCAGAGGUUUGCCAGAUGUGUCAGCAGAAUGCCAGAUCCGGUUCAGGUCGGUCUGCUGUGUGGGAACCGGCGAAGGCUCGCUCCUCUGGUCACCGUUUGCUCGAUUACCUGUCCGCCCUCCAACACCACCUCCAUCAGCGAUCUACACCAAACUCUGAGACUCCACACGCCACCAACAAGCAGCCUCGACUCCAGCAGCCCCCACCGCUUCUUCCUCCCUGGCAGAUUAACUGCAUUUCAUCAAGAUGCAGUCGAUCCUAUACAGUGGACUCCGGGACAAGAUUCACAUUUCAUUCAAUUCUCUGGACAAAAUAAACUGUAUUGAACUGA